AGACAGGUGUUACAGAUGUCUAUGAAACAAUUAAAUCAUCCAAGGACUCUCAAGAAGAUGAUGAAGAAGGAUAUGAUGAUGUGGUUCCCUCCGACACUAGAGCAGAGGAACAUGUGUAACUGAGGAAAAGAAAGGGAGAGAUGAUAUGCAAUAAUGCAUUUGUACUCUUAAUGUGUUUUCUAAAGCAGUGCCAUUUCCUCAAAUGUGUAAUUUGUAAACAUAAACAGCCAUAUACAUCUAUGAAUAUGUUUGGAAAGGACAGAAUAACAACAAUGGCCUAAUCAAUCCUUCAUUUUAGUUGUUUUAAGAUUGUGAAAGACUGAGUUCAACUCCCAUAAGAUAGGCUAGGUGGCAGCCAAUUAGCCUCUGUGUUACUGUAACUAUUUACAUAUUGCUCAACAUCAUAACACCUUUUUUAUUUGAAUGUAUUUUUAAAAGUUCACUUUAUCUUCUGUAAAAAUAUAUAGAUGUAUUUCAGGCAUUAUUGAUUGCUUAUUACUCUUUAACUUGAUAUAUUUCACAAAACCGUUAUUUUACAUGAUUGUC
Clupea harengus (Atlantic herring) is the source of this 546-nucleotide long non-coding RNA. The record is from Ensembl. Lineage: Eukaryota; Metazoa; Chordata; Actinopteri; Clupeiformes; Clupeidae.